RNAcentral lists this unclassified non-coding RNA (200 nucleotides) under Sordariales sp. RNAcentral describes it as "partial internal transcribed spacer 2". The record is from RNAcentral. Lineage: Eukaryota; Fungi; Ascomycota; Sordariomycetes; Sordariales.
UUAAGUUCAGCGGGUAUUCCUACCUGAUCCGAGGUCAACCUUGGUUUAAAGAUGGGGUCUUUAACGGCCGGAGCACGCCGCGACUCCCUAGCGAGAUAGUAUUCUACUACGCUCGGAGUUGUAGCGAGCCCGCCACUUACUUCAGGGCCUACGGCAGCCGUAGGGCCCCAACACCAAGCAGUGCUUGAGGGUUGAAAUGA